GUGGGGAAUAUUGCACAAUGGGGGAAACCCUGAUGCAGCGACGCCGCGUGAGUGAAGAAGUAUUUCGGUACGUAAAGCUCUAUCAGCAAGGAAGAAAAUGACGGUACUUGACUAAGAAGCCCCGGCUAACUACGUGCCAGCAGCCGCGGUAAUACGUAGGGGGCAAGCGUUAUCCGGAUUUACUGGGUGUAAAGGGAGCGUAGACGGUAUGGUAAGUCAGAUGUGAAAGCCCGGGGCUCAACCCCGGGACUGCAUUUGAAACUAUCAGACUGGAGUGCAGGAGAGGUAAGUGGAAUUCCUAGUGUAGCGGUGAAAUGCGUAGAUAUUAGGAGGAACACCAGUGGCGAAGGCGGCUUACUGGACUGUAACUGACGUUGAGGCUCGAAAGCGUGGGGAGCAAACAGGAUUAGAUACCCGAGUAGUCC
RNAcentral lists this ribosomal RNA (425 nucleotides) under uncultured bacterium. Its description in RNAcentral is "partial 16S ribosomal RNA". It matches the Rfam family "Bacterial small subunit ribosomal RNA", at positions 354 to 796 of the family's 1533-position model. The record is from RNAcentral.